GAUGAACGCUGGCGGCGUGCCUAAUACAUGCAAGUCGAGCGAACGGACGAGAAGCUUGCUUCUCUGAUGUUAGCGGCGGACGGGUGAGUAACACGUGGAUAACCUACCUAUAAGACUGGGAUAACUCCGGGAAACCGGAGCUAAUACCGGAUGAUAUUUUGAACCGCAUGGUACAAAAGUGAAAGACGGUCUUGCUGUCACUUAUAGAUGGAUCCGCGCUGCAUUAGCUAGUUGGUAAGGUAACGGCUUACCAAGGCAACGAUGCAUAGCCGACCUGAGAGGGUGAUCGGCCACACUGGAACUGAGACACGGUCCAGACUCCUACGGGAGGCAGCAGUAGGGAAUCUUCCGCAAUGGGCGAAAGCCUGACGGAGCAACGCCGCGUGAGUGAUGAAGGUCUUCGGAUCGUAAAACUCUGUUAUUAGGGAAGAACAUAUGUGUAAGUAACUGUGCACAUCUUGACGGUACCUAAUCAGAAAGCCACGGCUAACUACGUGCCAGCAGCCGCGGUAAUACGUAGGUGGCAAGCGUUAUCCGGAAUUAUUGGGCGUAAAGCGCGCGUAGGCGGUUUUUUAAGUCUGAUGUGAAAGCCCACGGCUCAACCGUGGAGGGUCAUUGGAAACUGGAAAACUUGAGUGCAGAAGAGGAAAGUGGAAUUCCAUGUGUAGCGGUGAAAUGCGCAGAGAUAUGGAGGAACACCAGUGGCGAAGGCGACUUUCUGGUCUGUAACUGACGCUGAUGUGCGAAAGCGUGGGGAUCAAACAGGAUUAGAUACCCUGGUAGUCCACGCCGUAAACGAUGAGUGCUAAGUGUUAGGGGGUUUCCGCCCCUUAGUGCUGCAGCUAACGCAUUAAGCACUCCGCCUGGGGAGUACGACCGCAAGGUUGAAACUCAAAGGAAUUGACGGGGACCCGCACAAGCGGUGGAGCAUGUGGUUUAAUUCGAAGCAACGCGAAGAACCUUACCAAAUCUUGACAUCCUUUGACAACUCUAGAGAUAGAGCCUUCCCCUUCGGGGGACAAAGUGACAGGUGGUGCAUGGUUGUCGUCAGCUCGUGUCGUGAGAUGUUGGGUUAAGUCCCGCAACGAGCGCAACCCUUAAGCUUAGUUGCCAUCAUUAAGUUGGGCACUCUAAGUUGACUGCCGGUGACAAACCGGAGGAAGGUGGGGAUGACGUCAAAUCAUCAUGCCCCUUAUGAUUUGGGCUACACACGUGCUACAAUGGACAAUACAAAGGGCAGCGAAACCGCGAGGUCAAGCAAAUCCCAUAAAGUUGUUCUCAGUUCGGAUUGUAGUCUGCAACUCGACUACAUGAAGCUGGAAUCGCUAGUAAUCGUAGAUCAGCAUGCUACGGUGAAUACGUUCCCGGGUCU
Molecule: ribosomal RNA, 1372 nt
Filed under: uncultured bacterium
Lineage: Bacteria
Description: bacterial SSU rRNA
Rfam family: Bacterial small subunit ribosomal RNA
Source: RNAcentral